RNAcentral lists this non-coding RNA (48 nucleotides) under Schistosoma mattheei. Lineage: Eukaryota; Metazoa; Platyhelminthes; Trematoda; Strigeidida; Schistosomatidae. The record is from RNAcentral.
AUCCUGCUGAUGAGUUUCAAAUAGGACGAAGUGAUGCGCGUCCUGGAU